ACCACUGACUUCGCUAAAGCAGAGAGAGCCUGGCUACAGAUGCUCUUAGCUGUCAGAACCCUGGAUAUAACAUCAGAUCUUCCUAGCACUUCCAGCCCACCUGUCAGACCUGCAUAUGGGAGCCUGGCAGAGAAAGGACAGGCAGGGCUGGCAGACAGAGAGAAUAAAUAGGAGGAAAAAUCUGGGAAGAAGAGAUUAAGGAUCGAGAAAAGGAGAAGAAGAUGCUGGGGGCCAGCCACACAGCCACACAGCCAGACAUGGAAUUUGAAGGAAAGAGAAAAUAUACAGAAAUAGAAAAAGACUACUCCAUACCAGAGUGAAUCAGGAGCCAAAUUCCAUUUAGGAAAUUGAAGG
Molecule: long non-coding RNA, 354 nt
Organism: Peromyscus eremicus (cactus mouse)
Lineage: Eukaryota; Metazoa; Chordata; Mammalia; Rodentia; Cricetidae
Exons: 3
Source: RefSeq, a predicted model, not a curated record